RNAcentral lists this ribosomal RNA (911 nucleotides) under Penicillium pancosmium. RNAcentral's name for it is "LSU rRNA". It matches the Rfam family "Eukaryotic large subunit ribosomal RNA", at positions 38 to 965 of the family's 3401-position model. The record is from RNAcentral. Lineage: Eukaryota; Fungi; Ascomycota; Eurotiomycetes; Eurotiales; Aspergillaceae.
GCAUAUCAUAAGCGGAGGAAAAGAAACCAACCGGGAUUGCCUAGUAACGGCGAGUGAAGCGGCAAGAGCUCAAAUUUGAAAGCUGGCUCCUUCGGGGUCCGCAUUGUAAUUUGCAGAGGAUGCUUCGGGAGCGGUCCCCAUCUAAGUGCCCUGGAACGGGCCGUCAUAGAGGGUGAGAAUCCCGUAUGGGAUGGGGUGCCCGCGCCCGUGUGAAGCUCCUUCGACGAGUCGAGUUGUUUGGGAAUGCAGCUCUAAUUGGGUGGUAAAUUUCAUCUAAAGCUAAAUAUUGGCCGGAGACCGAUAGCGCACAAGUAGAGUGAUCGAAAGAUGAAAAGCACUUUGAAAAGAGAGUUAAACAGCACGUGAAAUUGUUGAAAGGGAAGCGCUUGCGAUCAGACUCGCUCGCGGGGUUCAGCCGGCCUUCGGGCCGGUGUACUUCCCCGCGAGCGGGCCAGCGUCGGUUUGGGCGGCCGGUCAAAGGCCCCUGGAAUGUAACGCCUCUCGGGGCGUCUUAUAGCCAGGGGUGCCAUGCGGCCUGCCCGGACCGAGGAACGCGCUUCGGCUCGGACGCUGGCAUAAUGGUCGUAAGCGACCCGUCUUGAAACACGGACCAAGGAGUCUAACAUCUACGCGAGUGUUCGGGUGUCAAACCCGUGCGCGCAGUGAAAGCGAACGGAGGUGGGAACCCCUCGGGGUGCACCAUCGACCGAUCCUGAUGUCUUCGGAUGGAUUUGAGUAAGAGCGUAGCUGUUGGGACCCGAAAGAUGGUGAACUAUGCCUGAAUAGGGCGAAGCCAGAGGGAAACUCUGGUGGAGGCUCGCAGCGGGUUCUGACGUGCAAAUCGAUCGUCAAAUUUGGGUAUAGGGGCCGAAAGACUAAUCGAAACCAUCUAGUAGCUUGCUCUGCCGGAG